UACGGAGGGUGCAAACGUUGCUCGGAAUCAUUGGGCGUAAAGGGUCUGUAGGUGGCUUGCUAAGUCAGACGUGAAAUCCCUCAGCUUAACUGGGGAACUGCGUCUGAGACUGGCGAGCUUGAGGGCAGGAGAGGAACGCGGAAUUCCAGGUGUAGCGGUGAAAUGCGUAGAUAUCUGGAGGAACACCGGUGGCGAAGGCGGCGUUCUGGACUGCAUCUGACACUGAAAGACGAAAGCCAGGGGAGCAAACGGG
RNAcentral lists this ribosomal RNA (253 nucleotides) under uncultured bacterium. RNAcentral describes it as "partial 16S ribosomal RNA". It matches the Rfam family "Bacterial small subunit ribosomal RNA", at positions 524 to 776 of the family's 1533-position model. The record is from RNAcentral.